Molecule: ribosomal RNA, 253 nt
Filed under: uncultured bacterium
Lineage: Bacteria
Description: partial 16S ribosomal RNA
Rfam family: Bacterial small subunit ribosomal RNA
Source: RNAcentral
UACGAAGGGUGCAAGCGUUACUCGGAAUUACUGGGCGUAAAGCGUGCGUAGGUGGUGAGCUAAGUCUGUCGUGAAAGCCCCGGGCUCAACCUGGGAAUGGCGAUGGAAACUGGCUCGCUAGAGUGCGGUAGAGGAGAGUGGAAUUCCCGGUGUAGCAGUGAAAUGCGUAGAUAUCAGGAGGAACACCGAUGGCGAAGGCAGGUCUCUGGGCUGACACUGACGCUCAGGUGCGAAAGCGUGGGGAGCGAACCGG